UCAGAGUCUACAUUCCAGAUUGAUUAGAGUCUUAGGACAUUUUUUUUUCCUUUUCUUUUCUUUCCUUUUAUUUUAUUUAUUUUUUUUUUAUUUUAAGGAACUACAUAAUUUCAGCUAGAGCCACCAUACUAGCAAUGACCUGUUAGGCUGCAGAGAGAAGGUGUGGCUGUGGUUCAGGAACAAGCUGUACAUUUUUCACCCUGACUAUGGGACGGAAAUCAGUGCUGCAUCUUCAUGGGCUGCUCUGCUCUGAGAUGGCAGUCACGACGACCGAGGGGCCCGUUUUGUUCAGAAAUAUAUUUUAAAUGUUUAGUAAAAAAAAAAAAAGAAAAGAAAAGAAAAAGAAAGGAACAAACAUAACUAGUUACCCUCAGCAAAAAUAAAGGUCUUCAUUGUUUGUACCAUUUGGAAGUGAUCUGCCAGCCAUCGUCUCGGAGAGAAAGGAAUGACUGCAUUCAUCUUUCAACAGUUUUAGAGAAGAGGGAAGAAAUGCUCAGAUGGAAGAGGGGAGAUGGAUGCUGUGACAAUUAAGGAACUGUCAUGUGAAAGAUGUUUUAAAAGCCAACAGUGCAUAAGUUGCCGUAGCCUGGAGAAAGAGAAGCUGAGUAUCACAGAGCAGGACAAAACUCAUCUCUCUGACUCGUAA
This 646-nucleotide long non-coding RNA is filed under the name Mus spicilegus (steppe mouse). RNAcentral's name for it is "lncRNA (ENSMSIG00000029780.1)". Lineage: Eukaryota; Metazoa; Chordata; Mammalia; Rodentia; Muridae. The record is from RNAcentral.